Molecule: ribosomal RNA, 253 nt
Filed under: uncultured bacterium
Lineage: Bacteria
Description: partial 16S ribosomal RNA
Rfam family: Bacterial small subunit ribosomal RNA
Source: RNAcentral
UACAGAGGUCCCAAGCGUUGUUCGGAUUCACUGGGCGUAAAGGGUGCGUAGGUGGCCAGGUAAGUUUGGUGUGAAAGCUCGGAGCUUAACUCCGAAAAGUCAUUGAAUACUAUCUGGCUGGAGGGUCGGAGGGGAGACUGGAAUUCUCGGUGUAGCAGUGAAAUGCGUAGAUAUCGAGAGGAACACCAGUGGCGAAGGCGAGUCUCUGGACGACUCCUGACACUGAGGCGCGAAAGCAUGGGAAGCAAACAGG